GAGAAGCUGAGGUUCAACGAAAGUAUGAAGAACUCCAGCAGCAGCUUAAAGUAGAUGCGGCAGCAAGAGAAACAGAGGCGGCAGCUAGAGAAGUACAGGCUGCAGCGAGGGAAGCAGAGGCUAAAGCGAGGGAAGCAGAGGCUGCAGCGAGGGAAGCAGAGCAGCGUCAAAAGUUCGAUGAACUCCAGCAGCAGCUUUAGAGCAUGAUGAAGAUGUUUCAGUAGUCGCAACAGCCG
This 236-nucleotide long non-coding RNA is filed under the name Gossypium barbadense (sea-island cotton). RNAcentral describes it as "long non-coding RNA (GBAR_LNC014044)". Lineage: Eukaryota; Viridiplantae; Streptophyta; Magnoliopsida; Malvales; Malvaceae. The record is from RNAcentral.